GAGACUCUGUGCGCGUGCAUAUCAAUAAGCGGAGGAAAAGAAACUAACAAGGAUUCCCCUAGUAACGGCGAGUGAAGCGGGAAGAGCUCAAAUUUGAAAUCUUAAAGGGUUUCCCUUUACGAAUUGUAGUUUAAAGAAGUGUUUUCUGUUCGGAGUUUCGGUAAAAGUUCUUUGGAAUAGGACAUCAUAGAGGGUGAGAAUCCCGUAUUUGACCGUUACUUUCCAGCUGUGUGAUACACUUUCCAAAGAGUCGGAUUGUUUGGGAAUGCAGUCCAAGAUGGGUGGUAAAUUUCAUCUAAAGCUAAAUAUUGGCGAGAGACCGAUAGCGAACAAGUACCGUGAGGGAAAGAUGAAAAGAACUUUGAAAAGAGAGUUAAACAGUACGUGAAAUUGUCAAAAGGGAAGCGUUUGACACCAGUGUUGUUUUUCCGAAAAUCAAUUACGAAUGUUUUGUUUUUAAGAAGUUAUGACUUCAUCGGCUUGCUCCUUUCUUUAUGAAACUUUCUUAAUGCACUUUUCGGUUAACAAGUCAACAUCAAUUUCUUUUGUUGUAAAAGGGUAUGAGGAAGGUGGCUUUCUUUUCGGAGAAAGUGUUUAUAGCCUUGUGCCUCUGCAAUCGGAGAGAUUGAGGUCUGCAGCGUAGAUCCUUUGGGGUUAGAUACGUUUGUGCUAAGUUAUAGCUUUUCAUAGACAACUUGUUGACUAUGUUUAGUCUUGUAGCUUACUCGCUGACGCUAUUUUACCUACGCUUAGGAUGUUGACAGCAGUAUAGACUGU
RNAcentral lists this ribosomal RNA (777 nucleotides) under uncultured Neocallimastigales. RNAcentral describes it as "partial large subunit ribosomal RNA". It matches the Rfam family "Eukaryotic large subunit ribosomal RNA", at positions 23 to 635 of the family's 3401-position model. The record is from RNAcentral. Lineage: Eukaryota; Fungi; Neocallimastigomycota; Neocallimastigomycetes; Neocallimastigales.